UAGGGAAUCUUCGGCAAUGGGGGCAACCCUGACCGAGCAACGCCGCGUGAGUGAAGAAGAUCUUCGGAUCGUAAAACUCUGUUGUUAGAGAAGAACACGAGUGAGAGUAACUGUUCAUUCGAUGACGGUAUCUAACCAGCAAGUCACGGCUAACUACGUGUCAG
Molecule: ribosomal RNA, 164 nt
Filed under: uncultured bacterium
Lineage: Bacteria
Description: partial 16S rRNA
Rfam family: Bacterial small subunit ribosomal RNA
Source: RNAcentral